AGGACGAACGCUGGCGGCGUGCUUAACACAUGCAAGUCGAGCGAGACCCGCCUUUCGGGGUGGUGUUCUAGCGGCGAACGGGUGAGUAACACGUGGGUAACCUGCCCUGUACUGUGGGAUAAGCCUGGGAAACUGGGUCUAAUACCGCAUAUGACUGCAUUCCGCAUGGGGUGUGGUGGAAAGUUCUGGCGGUACAGGAUGGGCCCGCGGCCUAUCAGCUUGUUGGUGGGGUGAUGGCCUACCAAGGCGACGACGGGUAGCCGGCCUGAGAGGGCGACCGGCCACACUGGGACUGAGACACGGCCCAGACUCCUACGGGAGGCAGCAGUGGGGAAUCUUGCGCAAUGGGCGAAAGCCUGACGCAGCGACGCCGCGUGAGGGAUGACGGCCUUCGGGUUGUAACCUCUUUCGACCGGGACGAAGCGUGAGUGACGGUACCGGUAGAAGAAGCACCGGCUAACUACGUGCCAGCAGCCGC
This 478-nucleotide ribosomal RNA is filed under the name uncultured bacterium. RNAcentral describes it as "SSU rRNA". It matches the Rfam family "Bacterial small subunit ribosomal RNA", at positions 26 to 518 of the family's 1533-position model. The record is from RNAcentral.